AUGGUCCUACGGACACUCCAGUUCCUCCGCGCCGUCCGCAUCUGCUGACGAUUGCUCGCUACGUUUUUCGCG
Xanthomonas campestris pv. campestris is the source of this 72-nucleotide small RNA. It matches the Rfam family "Xanthomonas sRNA sX9". NCBI's taxonomy places the organism in Bacteria, Pseudomonadati, Pseudomonadota, Gammaproteobacteria, Lysobacterales, Lysobacteraceae. The record is from Rfam.